Molecule: ribosomal RNA, 1356 nt
Filed under: uncultured bacterium
Lineage: Bacteria
Description: 16S ribosomal RNA
Rfam family: Bacterial small subunit ribosomal RNA
Source: RNAcentral
GAACGCUAGCUACAGGCUUAACACAUGCAAGUCGAGGGGCAGCAUUUUAGUUUGCUUGCAAACUGAAGAAGGCGACCGGCGCACGGGUGAGUAACACGUAUCCAACCUGCCGAUAACUCCGGGAUAGCCUUUCGAAAGAAAGAUUAAUACCGGAUAGUAUACGAAUAUCGCAUGAUAUUUUUAUUAAAGAAUUUCGGUUAUCGAUGGGGAUGCGUUCCAUUAGUUUGUUGGCGGGGUAACGGCCCACCAAGACUACGAUGGAUAGGGGUUCUGAGAGGAAGGUCCCCCACAUUGGAACUGAGACACGGUCCAAACUCCUACGGGAGGCAGCAGUGAGGAAUAUUGGUCAAUGGGCGCGAGCCUGAACCAGCCAAGUAGCGUGAAGGAUGAAGGCUCUAUGGGUCGUAAACUUCUUUUAUAUGGGAAUAAAGUUUUCCACGUGUGGAAUUUUGUAUGUACCAUAUGAAUAAGGAUCGGCUAACUCCGUGCCAGCAGCCGCGGUAAUACGGAGGAUCCGAGCGUUAUCCGGAUUUAUUGGGUUUAAAGGGAGCGUAGGUGGAUUGUUAAGUCAGUUGUGAAAGUUUGCGGCUCAACCGUAAAAUUGCAGUUGAAACUGGCAGUCUUGAGUACAGUAGAGGUGGGCGGAAUUCGUGGUGUAGCGGUGAAAUGCUUAGAUAUCACGAAGAACUCCGAUUGCGAAGGCAGCUCACUAGACUGUCACUGACACUGAUGCUCGAAAGUGUGGGUAUCAAACAGGAUUAGAUACCCUGGUAGUCCACACAGUAAACGAUGAAUACUCGCUGUUUGCGAUAUACAGUAAGCGGCCAAGCGAAAGCAUUAAGUAUUCCACCUGGGGAGUACGCCGGCAACGGUGAAACUCAAAGGAAUUGACGGGGGCCCGCACAAGCGGAGGAACAUGUGGUUUAAUUCGAUGAUACGCGAGGAACCUUACCCGGGCUUAAAUUGCAACAGAAUAUAUUGGAAACAGUAUAGCCGUAAGGCUGUUGUGAAGGUGCUGCAUGGUUGUCGUCAGCUCGUGCCGUGAGGUGUCGGCUUAAGUGCCAUAACGAGCGCAACCCUUAUCUUUAGUUACUAACAGGUUAUGCUGAGGACUCUAGAGAGACUGCCGUCGUAAGAUGUGAGGAAGGUGGGGAUGACGUCAAAUCAGCACGGCCCUUACGUCCGGGGCUACACACGUGUUACAAUGGGGGGUACAGAAGGCGGCUACCUGGUGACAGGAUGCUAAUCCCAAAAACCUCUCUCAGUUCGGAUCGAAGUCUGCAACCCGACUUCGUGAAGCUGGAUUCGCUAGUAAUCGCGCAUCAGCCAUGGCGCGGUGAAUACGUUCCCGGGCCU